RNAcentral lists this ribosomal RNA (433 nucleotides) under uncultured bacterium. RNAcentral's name for it is "partial 16S ribosomal RNA". It matches the Rfam family "Bacterial small subunit ribosomal RNA", at positions 29 to 507 of the family's 1533-position model. The record is from RNAcentral.
AACGAACGCUGGCGGCAUGCCUAACACAUGCAAGUCGAACGAGACCUUCGGGUCUAGGGGCGCACGGGGGCGUAACGCGUGGGAACCUGCCCUUAGGUUCGGAAUAACUCCCCGAAAGGGGUGCUAAUACCGGAUAAUGUCUUCGGACCAAAGAUUUAUCGACUUUGGAUGGGCACGCGUUGGAUUAGCUAGUUGGUAGGGUAAAAGCAUACCAAGGCGACGAUCCAUAGCUGGUCUGAGAGGAUGAUCAGCCACACAGGGACUGAGACACGGCCCAGACUCCUACGGGAGGCAGCAGUGGGGAAUAUUGGACAAUGGGCGAAAGCCUGAUCCAGCAAUGCCGCGUGAGUGAUGAAGGCCUUAGGGUUGUAAAGCUCUUUUACCCGGGAUGAUAAUGACAGUACCGGGAGAAUAAGCUCCGGCUAACUCCGUG